UACAUUUUUGUGAUGAUACCAUAGUUCAACUGAAAUUUUUUGUGACGGCUAUUGGGAUUCUUUCGCCCCUAUCUGACAUUAUUAU
Molecule: small nucleolar RNA, 85 nt
Organism: Orussus abietinus
Lineage: Eukaryota; Metazoa; Arthropoda; Insecta; Hymenoptera; Orussidae
Product: small nucleolar RNA snR60/Z15/Z230/Z193/J17
Exons: 1
Source: RefSeq, a predicted model, not a curated record